This 484-nucleotide ribosomal RNA is filed under the name uncultured bacterium. RNAcentral describes it as "partial 16S ribosomal RNA". It matches the Rfam family "Bacterial small subunit ribosomal RNA", at positions 28 to 523 of the family's 1533-position model. The record is from RNAcentral.
GAUGAACGCUGGCGGCGUGCUUAACACAUGCAAGUCGAACGGUGAAGCAGGAGCUUGCUCUUGUGGAUCAGUGGCGAACGGGUGAGUAACACGUGAGCAACCCGCCCCUGACUCUGGGAUAAGCGCUGGAAACGGCGUCUAAUACUGGAUAUGUGAUGUGACCGCAUGGUCUGCAUCUGGAAAGAAUUUCGGUUGGGGAUGGACUCGCGGCCUAUCAGCUUGUUGGUGAGGUAAUGGCUCACCAAGGCGUCGACGGGUAGCCGGCCUGAGAGGGUGACCGGCCACACUGGGACUGAGACACGGCCCAGACUCCUACGGGAGGCAGCAGUGGGGAAUAUUGCACAAUGGGCGGAAGCCUGAUGCAGCAACGCCGCGUGAGGGAUGACGGCCUUCGGGUUGUAAACCUCUUUUAGCAGGGAAGAAGCGAAAGUGACGGUACCUGCAGAAAAAGCACCGGCUAACUACGUGCCAGCCGCCGCAGUAA